Long non-coding RNA from Arvicola amphibius (Eurasian water vole), 600 nucleotides. RefSeq lists it as uncharacterized. NCBI's taxonomy places the organism in Eukaryota, Metazoa, Chordata, Mammalia, Rodentia, Cricetidae. The transcript has 3 exons. The record is from RefSeq and is a predicted model, not a curated record.
AUUUGGUCCAUGCUUGGUCACUCAGCCAGGCCUGUUCAUUCGUCCUGACCCAUGCUCUAAGUCCCCAGUCCACUGCGUUCCUGCUAUGGCUACCCUAAACCAGCCCUCAGAAUCUUUCUGGAACUACCAGAGAAGAAGGCUUAAAGGCCAUCCACUCCCCUGCUGUAUACAUAACAUCAAGGCCCUGGAUGGUGUAGUGUCUGAGCUAACUAGUGCCCAGAGGCCCUCAGUGCUGACCUCUCACCCUUCUGAACACACUGCAUUUCUACCCUGUUCUACUCACUGGAGUUGGCCAACACCAGGGGUUUCUGGCAGGCAGCUCAAUAGACUACCUGCCUCCACCCACCACCAGAAGUCUCCGGAGACAGCGCAUGCCGUAAUGCAACAAUCUCAGUGGGGACCAUUUGUUUUUCUGGCAACCUAUAGAUGCCAGGAAGUCUCUGUCUUAACCUGGACUCAGAAAUCCUAACCCACCAGACCAAUUCUAGAAUAGCAAGUCACGUGACUGCUGAGUAAUUAAUGUGUUCACAGCUUUGGAGAGGAAUAAGAAGAACCUUCACCUGGCAUUGGAUGGAGAAAAUGACAGAGCCUCACAUAGGA